GUCUUGUAUGUACUCCCACCUCCCAUUUCUGUAGAAUCUUUUCAUAAUAUUUAUCACUUGAUUGCAUACUUUGGUUGUGUUCG
Molecule: small RNA, 83 nt
Filed under: Caenorhabditis elegans
Lineage: Eukaryota; Metazoa; Nematoda; Chromadorea; Rhabditida; Rhabditidae
Description: Unclassified non-coding RNA F14E5.9
Source: RNAcentral